CUCCAUGCUUCCAUGGGACCUGCCAACGUGGUAGUCGCCCUUCCUACUCAUGGUAGAGCAACCGACUCUUGCCUCUUGGCAAAGCUCCCACCAUUCAAUUGGGGCGAGUCUCUGACUUGGGCAAGUGACAGAU
This is a small nucleolar RNA of Eublepharis macularius, 133 nucleotides long. RefSeq annotates it as small nucleolar RNA SNORA24. The transcript has a single exon. NCBI's taxonomy places the organism in Eukaryota, Metazoa, Chordata, Lepidosauria, Squamata, Eublepharidae. The record is from RefSeq and is a predicted model, not a curated record.